AGGACUAACGCUGGCGGCGUGCCUAACACAUGCAAGUCGAACGAAGUAGCAAUACUUAGUGGCAGACGGGUGAGUAACACGUAGUCAACCUGCCCUUCAAUGGGGGAUAACUAGCCGAAAGGUUAGCUAAUACCGCAUACGAUCUCUGAGUGGCAUCACUCGGCGAUGAAAGGAGUAAUCCGUUGAAGGAGGGGACUGCGUCCCAUUAGUUAGUUGGUGGGGUAAUGGCCUACCAAGACUCCGAUGGGUAGCUGGCUUGAGAGAGCGACCAGCCACACUGGAACUGAGACACGGUCCAGACUCCUACGGGAGGCAGCAGUGAGGAAUUUUCCGCAAUGGGGGAAACCCUGACGGAGCGACGCCGCGUGUGGGAAGAAGGCCUUCGGGUCGUAAACCACUGUCGAGGGGGACGAUAUUGACGGUACCCCUGGACGGAAGCCCGGCUAACUACGUGCCAGCAGCCGC
RNAcentral lists this ribosomal RNA (465 nucleotides) under uncultured bacterium. RNAcentral describes it as "SSU rRNA". It matches the Rfam family "Bacterial small subunit ribosomal RNA", at positions 26 to 518 of the family's 1533-position model. The record is from RNAcentral.